Molecule: long non-coding RNA, 300 nt
Filed under: Mustela putorius furo (domestic ferret)
Lineage: Eukaryota; Metazoa; Chordata; Mammalia; Carnivora; Mustelidae
Description: lncRNA (ENSMPUG00000029121.1)
Source: RNAcentral
GUGCCAGGGAAGAUGGUGAAGUAGGAAGAUCCUAUGCUCUCCUCUUCCCAUAGAUACAGGCAGCUGACUGGAUGGGGCAUUCUCCCAUGGAAUCAAAAAGAAAACAAGUGCCCUUACUACUCUGAGUAAGGUGAAGUAAGAAAACUAUGCCCUAAUCUCCUUGUUCGGAGGGAAGAAGAGUGGAGAGUGAGAAAGACAGGGCCCCUCUAGGGGCUAAUGGAUCAUUCCAGAAUAAAGGUAAGCAAAGCAUCACAUUUGACCAAGAGAACACCAUGCCUUAUGCUCAGAGACGUAAAGUCC